UACAGAGAGUGAGAGCGUUAAUCGGAAUUACUGGGCGUAAAGCGUGCGUAGACGGUUAUUUAAGUCGGGUGUGAAAGCCCCGGGCUCAACCUGGGAAUUGCAUUCGAGACUGAAUAGCUAGGGUACGGUAGAGGGAAGCGGAAUUUCCGGUGUAGCGGUGAAAUGCGUAGAUAUCGGAAGGAACAUCAGUGGCGAAAGCGGCUUCCUGGACCAGUACCGACGUUCAGGCACGAAAGCGUGGGGAGCAAACAGG
RNAcentral lists this ribosomal RNA (253 nucleotides) under uncultured bacterium. RNAcentral's name for it is "partial 16S ribosomal RNA". It matches the Rfam family "Bacterial small subunit ribosomal RNA", at positions 524 to 776 of the family's 1533-position model. The record is from RNAcentral.